RNAcentral lists this ribosomal RNA (464 nucleotides) under uncultured bacterium. RNAcentral describes it as "bacterial SSU rRNA". It matches the Rfam family "Bacterial small subunit ribosomal RNA", at positions 28 to 507 of the family's 1533-position model. The record is from RNAcentral.
GACGAACGCUGGCGGCGUGCCUAACACAUGCAAAUCGAGCGGGGACAUUGGUUUCGGCUGAUGUUCUAGCGGCGGACGGGUGAGUAACGCGUGAGCAACCUUUCUCUCAGUGGGGAAUAACACAGGGAAACUUGUACUAAUACCGCAUGAGACCACAGCAUCGCAUGGUGCAGGGGUCAAAGAUUUAUCGCUGAGAGGUGGGCUCGCGUCUGAUUAGAUAGUUGGUGGGGUAACGGCCUACCAAGUCGACGAUCAGUAGCCGACCUGAGAGGGUGAUCGGCCACAUUGGGACUGAGACACGGCCCAAACUCCUACGGGAGGCAGCAGUGGGGAAUAUUGGGCAAUGGGGGAAACCCUGACCCAGCAACGCCGCGUGGAGGAAGAAGGUUUUCGGAUCGUAAACUCCUGUCCUCAGGGAAGAGCAGAAGACGGUACCUGAGGAGGAAGCCCCGGCUAACUACGUG